CUGUAGCAAGGUUAACCGAAUAGGGGAGCCGGAGGGAAACCGAGUCUUAACCGGGCGUUAAGUUGCAGGGUAUAGACCCGAAACCCGGUGAUCUAGCCAUGGGCAGGUUGAAGGUUGGGUAACACUAACUGGAGGACCGAACCGACUAAUGUUGAAAAAUUAGCGGAUGACCUGUGGCUGGGGGUGAAAGGCCAAUCAAACCGGGAGAUAGCUGGUUCUCCCCGAAAGCUAUUUAGGUAGCGCCUCGUGAAUUCAUCUCCGGGGGUAGAGCACUGUUUCGGCUAGGGGGCCAUCCCGGCUUACCAACCCGAUGCAAACUGCGAAUACCGGAGAAUGUUAUCACGGGAGACACACGGCGGGUGCUAACGUCCGUCGUGAAGAGGGAAACAACCCAGACCGCCAGCUAAGGUCCCAAAGUCAUGGUUAAGUGGGAAACGAUGUGGGAAGGCCCAGACAGCCAGGAUGUUGGCUUAGAAGCAGCCAUCAUUUAAAGAAAGCGUAAUAGCUCACUGGUCGAGUCGGCCUGCGCGGAAGAUGUAACGGGGCUAAACCAUGCACCGAAGCUGCGGCAGCGACACUGUGUGUUGUUGGGUAGGGGAGCGUUCUGUAAGCCUGUGAAGGUGUGUCGUGAGGCAUGCUGGAGGUAUCAGAAGUGCGAAUGCUGACAUAAGUAACGAUAAAGCGGGUGAAAAGCCCGCUCGCCGGAAGACCAAGGGUUCCUGUCCAACGUUAAUCGGGGCAGGGUGAGUCGACCCCUAAGGCGAGGCCGAAAGGCGUAGUCGAUGGGAAACGGGUUAAUAUUCCCGUACUUGGUGUUACUGCGAAGGGGGGACGGAGAAGGCUAUGUUGGCCGGGCGACGGUUGUCCCGGUUUAAGCGUGUAGGUGUGUGUUCCAGGUAAAUCCGGUUCACUUUAACACUGAGGCGUGACGACGAGGCACUACGGUGCUGAAGCAACAAAUGCCCUGCUUCCAGGAAAAGCCUCUAAGCAUCAGGUAACAUCAAAUCGUACCCCAAACCGACACAGGUGGUCAGGUAGAGAAUACCAAGGCGCUUGAGAGAACUCGGGUGAAGGAACUAGGCAAAAUGGUGCCGUAACUUCGGGAGAAGGCACGCUGACACGUAGGUGAAGUGAUUUACUCAUGGAGCUGAAGUCAGUCGAAGAUACCAGCUGGCUGCAACUGUUUAUUAAAAACACAGCACUGUGCAAACACGAAAGUGGACGUAUACGGUGUGACGCCUGCCCGGUGCCGGAAGGUUAAUUGAUGGGGUCAGCGCAAGCGAAGCUCCUGAUCGAAGCCCCGGUAAACGGCGGCCGUAACUAUAACGGUCCUAAGGUAGCGAAAUUCCUUGUCGGGUAAGUUCCGACCUGCACGAAUGGCGUAAUGAUGGCCAGGCUGUCUCCACCCGAGACUCAGUGAAAUUGAACUCGCUGUGAAGAUGCAGUGUACCCGCGGCAAGACGGAAAGACCCCGUGAACCUUUACUAUAGCUUGACACUGAACAUUGAGCCUUGAUGUGUAGGAUAGGUGGGAGGCUUUGAAGUGUGGACGCCAGUCUGCAUGGAGCCGACCUUGAAAUACCACCCUUUAAUGUUUGAUGUUCUAACGUGGACCCGUUACCCGGGUUGCGGACAGUGUCUGGUGGGUAGUUUGACUGGGGCGGUCUCCUCCUAAAGAGUAACGGAGGAGCACGAAGGUUGGCUAAUCCUGGUCGGACAUCAGGAGGUUAGUGCAAUGGCAUAAGCCAGCUUGACUGCGAGCGUGACGGCGCGAGCAGGUGCGAAAGCAGGUCAUAGUGAUCCGGUGGUUCUGAAUGGAAGGGCCAUCGCUCAACGGAUAAAAGGUACUCCGGGGAUAACAGGCUGAUACCGCCCAAGAGUUCAUAUCGACGGCGGUGUUUGGCACCUCGAUGUCGGCUCAUCACAUCCUGGGGCUGAAGUAGGUCCCAAGGGUAUGGCUGUUCGCCAUUUAAAGUGGUACGCGAGCUGGGUUUAGAACGUCGUG
RNAcentral lists this ribosomal RNA (2004 nucleotides) under Salmonella enterica. Its description in RNAcentral is "partial 23S ribosomal RNA". It matches the Rfam family "Bacterial large subunit ribosomal RNA", at positions 635 to 2623 of the family's 2925-position model. The record is from RNAcentral. Lineage: Bacteria; Pseudomonadati; Pseudomonadota; Gammaproteobacteria; Enterobacterales; Enterobacteriaceae.